ACGACGAUAGCUCACCUGGUAGAGCAUCUGCCGGACAUGUGGAGGGUCGCCGGUUCGGUUCCGGCUCGUGGCA
RNAcentral lists this transfer RNA (73 nucleotides) under Fasciola hepatica (liver fluke). RNAcentral describes it as "tRNA-Val". It matches the Rfam family "tRNA". From Rfam's summary of the family: Transfer RNA (tRNA) molecules are approximately 80 nucleotides in length. Their secondary structure includes four short double-helical elements and three loops (D, anti-codon, and T loops). The record is from RNAcentral. Lineage: Eukaryota; Metazoa; Platyhelminthes; Trematoda; Plagiorchiida; Fasciolidae.